This 398-nucleotide long non-coding RNA is filed under the name Elaeis guineensis (African oil palm). RNAcentral describes it as "long non-coding RNA (EGUI_LNC006870)". The record is from RNAcentral. Lineage: Eukaryota; Viridiplantae; Streptophyta; Magnoliopsida; Arecales; Arecaceae.
UUUUUGCCACCGCCCGCAUUCUCCUCUACCACUGUCAUCCUCCACCUCUGCCACCACCGCCCGCGUUCUCCUCUGCCACCGUAAUCCUCCACCUCCAUCACCACUGGCGCGUUCUCAUCUGCCACCGUCAUCCUCCACCUCCGCCACCACCGCCCGUCGUGUCUCUUUCCCUCUCUCUCUGCGCAUCACGCUAUCUUGCGCUUGUUCUCCUCCCAACUCCGACAGGAAAAGAUCAAAGAGGCGACAAAACCGAGCUUCUGAUCGCCGACGGAAGGUCAGUAUUGGCGUUCUAUCCAUCGAGAGCGAGCGGCCCGGCGGCUGCCGACCGAAGAGAGCCCGUAUUAAAAUGGAUGGUAAUUUUCUUAAGCUCCAACCGUCUGAUCUUAAUCGAGCGACGC